RNAcentral lists this long non-coding RNA (557 nucleotides) under Oryzias sinensis (Chinese medaka). RNAcentral's name for it is "lncRNA (ENSOSIG00000022987.1)". Lineage: Eukaryota; Metazoa; Chordata; Actinopteri; Beloniformes; Adrianichthyidae. The record is from RNAcentral.
ACCGUUGUUGCCGCCGACUCUGUCUCACUUCAUUUCGCUCGUUCUACCCCUCUGUCCUGCCAUGUAGGCUGAGAGAGGAAACACGCUGAGGUGUAAAAACCCAUCAGGCGUUUCCUGCCACUGGGCAUCUACAACGCAACCAAUAGAAUCAGACCAACCUGCAGACCAACAGUCAGAAGAUCUGAUAGAAAAAUGCCUGUAUGCGUCUGCUCUGAGUCAUCUAAGCCACCAGGAGGUCUACAGAGAAAACACUUCAUUGUUGGGUGAGUCAAAGCAUGUGACUCAUUAGCUUCUACGUGUAACUGAAAUGAUUGGAUUGAAAUCUUUGUUUAAAAGAAAAGUACGGUUGUGUUGCAACUCUGUCAUGCUGUGUCAAAGUUUUGAUAUCUGACCAAGGUGAGCAGCCUUGCCACUGAAGGCCAUAUUCUUCAUGUGCUGAGAUGACAUAGUUAUUCUGUGACUUGAUAUUUGGGUCAUUCACAGUUCUGAGUCUGACACUGAGUGUUUAUGAAAUUUACGAGGAAGAAGAACUCCAUGUCUGCUAGCGGAGCUUAGCA